AACGAACGCUGGCGGCAUGCCUAACACAUGCAAGUCGAACGAGACCUUCGGGUCUAGUGGCGCACGGGUGCGUAACGCGUGGGAACCUGCCCUUAGGUUCGGAAUAACUCCCCGAAAGGGGUGCUAAUACCGGAUAAUGUCUUCGGACCAAAGAUUUAUCGCCUUUGGAUGGGCCCGCGUUGGAUUAGCUAGUUGGUAGGGUAAAAGCCUACCAAGGCGACGAUCCAUAGCUGGUCUGAGAGGAUGAUCAGCCACACUGGGACUGAGACACGGCCCAGACUCCUACGGGAGGCAGCAGUGGGGAAUAUUGGACAAGGGGCGAAAGCCUGAUCCAGCAAUGCCGCGUGAGUGAUGAAGGCCUUAGGGUUGUAAAGCUCUUUUACACGGGAUGAUAAUGACAGUACCGGGAGAAUAAGCUCCGGCUAACUCCGUG
Molecule: ribosomal RNA, 433 nt
Filed under: uncultured bacterium
Lineage: Bacteria
Description: partial 16S ribosomal RNA
Rfam family: Bacterial small subunit ribosomal RNA
Source: RNAcentral